UACGAAGGGGGCUAGCGUUGUUCGGAAUCACUGGGCGUAAAGCGCACGUAGGCGGAUUGUUAAGUCAGGGGUGAAAUCCUGGAGCUCAACUCCAGAACUGCCUUUGAUACUGGCGAUCUUGAGUUCGGGAGAGGUGAGUGGAACUGCGAGUGUGGAGGUGAAAUUCGUAGAUAUUCGCAAGAACACCAGUGGCGAAGGCGGCUCACUGGCCCGAUACUGACGCUGAGGUGCGAAAGCGUGGGGAGCAAACAGG
This 253-nucleotide ribosomal RNA is filed under the name uncultured bacterium. RNAcentral describes it as "partial 16S ribosomal RNA". It matches the Rfam family "Bacterial small subunit ribosomal RNA", at positions 524 to 776 of the family's 1533-position model. The record is from RNAcentral.